RNAcentral lists this long non-coding RNA (669 nucleotides) under Lathyrus oleraceus (garden pea). RNAcentral's name for it is "Pisum sativum (pea) long non-coding RNA (PSAT_LNC016951)". The record is from RNAcentral. Lineage: Eukaryota; Viridiplantae; Streptophyta; Magnoliopsida; Fabales; Fabaceae.
UUUAUUUCCUUUAGUUUUUUUAAUUCUUUUGCCUCUUGUAAUGAUAGUGUGACCCCUCCUUUUUAUUAUUUCUUUUACCUUUUUUAUUGCUUUACUUUUUAGUUUAUUUUAUUGUAUUUUUAGUUGAUACUUAAUUGUUAAUCCAAAAAGACAAAAUGAUCAUUAAAAUUAAUCUUUCAACAUCGAGUUUGAUCAACAUCGAGUAUAUUUUUCAAAUCACACUAAGCCUUUUUCUUUAAUAAGCACCUCAUAUCAUUUCAAACAAUUUCACAAGCCAUUUUCAUUAAUGCGAUAAAACACUCUAUCAACAUCGAGUUUCUCUUCCACUUACUCAACUCGUUAAUCUUUUCUUAAACAAAUAUGAAAGAAAUGGGUCCUUGGAGUCUCUCAUUUCUUGAAUCCUUGAUUGAUUUCUCUCGAGGCACACAUCUUGGGUUAUCUUUUCAUUCAGUCUUCAUUUCAAAAAUACUUAACAUAAUAACUUGGACGAAAAGAUGGGUCAUUGGAGUCUAGCAUUCUGGUGGAACCUUUGAACAAUCUUUUGAAUGUUCAUUGUCCAUCAAACAAUUUCUUGAAUACAUUGAAUGAAAAAGGUAUUGUUGAAGUCUAUCAUUCCGGCCAUAUCCCGAAUAAUUGGUUCCGACGCCCACGUCUCAUUCUUACUGAAUA